GUAUAGUAUCCCGCAAGGGAAGUGAACCCGGUGAACUGAAACAUCUAAGUAGCCGGAGGAAGAGAAAACAAAAGUGAUUCCGGGAGUAGUGGCGAGCGAAACCGGAUUAGCCCAAACCAGUGUUGUUUCGGCAAUACUGGGGUUGUAGGACCACGACAUUGAUUGCGUAAUGAAUUAGAACACUUUGGAAAGAGUGACCGAAGAGGGUGAUAGUCCCGUACAAGUAAAGAGCGUUAAUUAUAGUGGUAUCCUGAGUAGUGCGGGGCACGUGAAACCCUGUAUGAAUCAAGCGGGACCAUCCGUUAAGGCUAAAUACUCCUGAGAGACCGAUAGUGAACCAGUACCGUGAGGGAAAGGUGAAAAGAACCCUGAAUAAGGGAGUGAAAAAGAUCCUGAAACCAUACGCUUACAAGCGGUCGGAGCCCGUAAGGGGUGACGGCGUGCCUUUUGCAUAAUGAGCCUACGAGUUACUUUUACUAGCAAGGUUAAGCACUUCAGGUGCGGAUCCGUAGCGAAAGCGAGCCUGAAUAGGGCGACCAUAGUUAGUAGUAGUAGACGCGAAACCGUGUGAUCUACCCAUGGGCAGGUUGAAGCUUUGUUAACCC
RNAcentral lists this ribosomal RNA (605 nucleotides) under uncultured bacterium. Its description in RNAcentral is "bacterial LSU rRNA". It matches the Rfam family "Bacterial large subunit ribosomal RNA", at positions 143 to 762 of the family's 2925-position model. The record is from RNAcentral.